GGAAUUGACGGGACCCGCACAAGCGGUGGAUGAUGUGGAUUAAUUCGAUGCAACGCGAAAACCUUACCUACCCUUGACAUGUCCGGAAUCCCGAAGAGAUUUGGGAGUGCUCGCAAGAGAACCGGAACACAGGUGCUGCAUGGCUGUCGUCAGCUCGUGUCGUGAGAUGUUGGGUUAAGUCCCGCAACGAGCGCAACCCUUGUCAUUAGUUGCCAUCAUUUGGUUGGGCACUCUAAUGAGACUGCCGGUGACAAACCGGAGGAAGGUGGGGAUGACGUCAAGUCCUCAUGGCCCUUAUGGGUAGGGCUUCACACGUCAUACAAUGGUCGGUACAGAGGGUUGCCAACCCGCGAGGGGGAGCUAAUCCCACAAAGCCGAUCGUAGUCCGGAUCGCAGUCUGCAACUCGACUGCGUGAAGUCGGAAUCGCUAGUAAUCGUGGAUCAGCAUGUCACGGUGAAUACGUUCCCGGGUCUU
This 475-nucleotide ribosomal RNA is filed under the name uncultured Rhodocyclaceae bacterium. Its description in RNAcentral is "bacterial SSU rRNA". It matches the Rfam family "Bacterial small subunit ribosomal RNA", at positions 906 to 1382 of the family's 1533-position model. Lineage: Bacteria; Pseudomonadati; Pseudomonadota; Betaproteobacteria; Rhodocyclales; Rhodocyclaceae. The record is from RNAcentral.